This is a long non-coding RNA of Glycine soja, 973 nucleotides long. RefSeq lists it as uncharacterized. NCBI's taxonomy places the organism in Eukaryota, Viridiplantae, Streptophyta, Magnoliopsida, Fabales, Fabaceae. The transcript is spliced from 5 exons. The record is from RefSeq and is a predicted model, not a curated record.
GCCUCUUCGCCACCAUGUGUUUGCUAUAUCUAGAUAUAUAGUAUUAUUUUAUAUGAGAGGAGAAAUCAUUAACCAACUUUGUAUGUUAUAAUCUGCAGGUUGAUAAUAUUGGAACAAAUGAAGCAAGACAAAAUGAAGAAAAUCUAGCCUCGCAGUGCAAGCAUGACACUAUUUUAAUGAGGAAAUUCGAAUAUACUGCAGAUAGUGUGGUUGGAUUGCCACUGAAAUCAAAUAUAUCACACCAUGAUUUGAAAGCACAGUAUGAAUUUGAUGAAGAUUUCUUUACUACAUGGAUGUCUUGGCCAUUUGUAAUGGCCUUACUAGCUAAGACAGCUUUAAUGGCUACGUGGCAGAGCAGGAAGACAGGGGGAUCCGACCUCAAUACGAUUUAUUGUCAGUCAUGGAUAGGGAUUUUGAACACAAACACGAUCAGAGUCUGGUGCACUCAGUGGAGGACAACGGAGUAGAUUAUCUUCUAGAAAGGGAGGGAAGCAACUGGGAUGCGAAUUUAAAAUGAAAAGACAUUCUUUCUCUAAGAGAACAACAAAGAUUGGGGAUGUGCAAUAGUGUUGAUGUUGAAGAACACCUAUACGGGCUUGCAAAAGAUAUAUAUGGGAAUCACAGUUGUUACUUCCUCACAAAUUCGAGUAAUUUCCCCGUGUUAAGAGAAAUCAAGGAAGAAACCUCUGUUAAUUUGGCAUGCAAGGUAAUUAGUCAUGUGUUCAAAGCGAGUUGAUACAAAUUUACUUUUACAUGUUUGGGUAAAAUUGUGAUGAUGUCUGUUACUGGAAAUUUGUCAUAACUAAACAGUGACCCUUUUCAAGUACUCUAUGUAUAUGAUAUGAUAUCUUUUUUUGUACUGGAUUGUGGGCAAUGGAGUUUUGGCAAGUGAUUUAGUGGUAAUGACAUGCCAAGAACUGUAAAGUUAUUGAUUGGAUAAUUUUUUUUAUUGAUAUUAUCAAAAGCAUCACUU